RNAcentral lists this ribosomal RNA (253 nucleotides) under uncultured bacterium. RNAcentral's name for it is "partial 16S ribosomal RNA". It matches the Rfam family "Bacterial small subunit ribosomal RNA", at positions 524 to 776 of the family's 1533-position model. The record is from RNAcentral.
UACGGAGGGUGCAAGCGUUAUCCGGAUUCACUGGGUUUAAAGGGUGCGUAGGCGGUUUGAUAAGUCAGUGGUGAAAGCUCGCAGCUUAACUGUGAAACUGCCAUUGAAACUGUCAGACUUGAGUACAAUUGAAGUGGGCGGAAUACAUCAUGUAGCGGUGAAAUGCUUAGAUAUGAUGUAGAACACCGAUUGCGAAGGCAGCUCACUAAAUUGCAACUGACGCUGAGGCACGAAAGCGUGGGUAGCGAACAGG